AUACAGAACAUGCAGCACUCAAGGUAAUAAUUUUGUAUAUGAAUAUUCAAUAACUUGUAUGUCCAAGUAGACUGAAAACUUUAAAAUUCUUUAACAGGCUCACAUUCGCUAGAGUAGAUGAAAAUGAAAAUUUUACGAUGGUUGUGUAAAGGGUAAAAUAACUCAAAUUGUUUUCUCAGUAAAUGCUACCACAUCUUCAUCAAUCAACUGCUAUUCUUAAAUAUCAAGAAAAUAACUUGUAUAAUACAAACAAUAUAGUCAACAAAAAGCUAUAUACAAAGAUAGCUAAUGCAAGAUCACUGAGCUUAUAAUACAUAAGGCCAAAAAUAUUUCAUCCCAGUUCUUUUUAUUUUUUAUUUUAUUUUAUUUAUUUAUUUAUUUGAGAUGGAGUCCCACUGUGUCACC
RNAcentral lists this long non-coding RNA (405 nucleotides) under Homo sapiens (human). RNAcentral describes it as "HSALNT0208931". The record is from RNAcentral. Lineage: Eukaryota; Metazoa; Chordata; Mammalia; Primates; Hominidae.